This 1442-nucleotide ribosomal RNA is filed under the name uncultured organism. RNAcentral describes it as "SSU rRNA". It matches the Rfam family "Bacterial small subunit ribosomal RNA". The record is from RNAcentral.
ACGCUAGCUACAGGCUUAACACAUGCAAGUCGAGGGGCAGCAUGGUCUUAGCUUGCUAAGGCCGAUGGCGACCGGCGCACGGGUGAGUAACACGUAUCCAACCUGCCGUCUACUCUUGGACAGCCUUCUGAAAGGAAGAUUAAUACAAGAUGGCAUCAUGAGUCCGCAUGUUCACAUGAUUAAAGGUAUUCCGGUAGACGAUGGGGAUGCGUUCCAUUAGAUAGUAGGCGGGGUAACGGCCCACCUAGUCUUCGAUGGAUAGGGGUUCUGAGAGGAAGGUCCCCCACAUUGGAACUGAGACACGGUCCAAACUCCUACGGGAGGCAGCAGUGAGGAAUAUUGGUCAAUGGGCGAGAGCCUGAACCAGCCAAGUAGCGUGAAGGAUGACUGCCCUAUGGGUUGUAAACUUCUUUUAUAAAGGAAUAAAGUCGGGUAUGCAUACCCGUUUGCAUGUACUUUAUGAAUAAGGAUCGGCUAACUCCGUGCCAGCAGCCGCGGUAAUACGGAGGAUCCGAGCGUUAUCCGGAUUUAUUGGGUUUAAAGGGAGCGUAGAUGGAUGUUUAAGUCAGUUGUGAAAGUUUGCGGCUCAACCGUAAAAUUGCAGUUGAUACUGGAUAUCUUGAGUGCAGUUGAGGCAGGCGGAAUUCGUGGUGUAGCGGUGAAAUGCUUAGAUAUCACGAAGAACUCCGAUUGCGAAGGCAGCCUGCUAAGCUGCAACUGACAUUGAGGCUCGAAAGUGUGGGUAUCAAACAGGAUUAGAUACCCUGGUAGUCCACACGGUAAACGAUGAAUACUCGCUGUUUGCGAUAUACGGCAAGCGGCCAAGCGAAAGCGUUAAGUAUUCCACCUGGGGAGUACGCCGGCAACGGUGAAACUCAAAGGAAUUGACGGGGGCCCGCACAAGCGGAGGAACAUGUGGUUUAAUUCGAUGAUGCGCGAGGAACCUUACCCGGGCUUAAAUUGCAGAUGAAUUACGGUGAAAGCCGUAAGCCGCAAGGCAUCUGUGAAGGUGCUGCAUGGUUGUCGUCAGCUCGUGCCGUGAGGUGUCGGCUUAAGUGCCAUAACGAGCGCAACCCUUGUUGUCAGUUACUAACGGGUUCCGCUGAGGACUCUGACAAGACUGCCAUCGUAAGAUGUGAGGAAGGUGGGGAUGACGUCAAAUCAGCACGGCCCUUACGUCCGGGGCUACACACGUGUUACAAUGGGGGGUACAGAGGGCCGCUACCACGCGAGUGGAUGCCAAUCCCAAAAACCUCUCUCAGUUCGGACUGGAGUCUGCAACCCGACUCCACGAAGCUGGAUUCGCUAGUAAUCGCGCAUCAGCCACGGCGCGGUGAAUACGUUCCCGGGCCUUGUACACACCGCCCGUCAAGCCAUGGGAGCCGGGGGUACCUGGAGUGCGUAACCGCGAGGAGCGCCCUAGGGUAAAACUGGUGACUGGG